Molecule: long non-coding RNA, 992 nt
Organism: Pogona vitticeps (central bearded dragon)
Lineage: Eukaryota; Metazoa; Chordata; Lepidosauria; Squamata; Agamidae
Source: RefSeq, a predicted model, not a curated record
UUUAUGCUGCAAGUUAUAAAUGCAGAUGUACAAAUGAGAAUGACGUAGUGGGGUUGAUGUCCCAUAACGCUACCUUAGGCUGCAAGAUGCAAAAAUUGCUUGGGAAAGAGGAAACAGAACUAAAUUAAAUAUCCAAAGCGCUGACAUUUAUUUCACUGGCACUUAAUUUGGACCGAGGCUUGGGUUUUAACACACUGAAUCCUGAAUCUGAGGUGGUUUGGCCCUGGAAGAAGGCAUGGUUUUUCAACAACUACAGAGUUCAUUAGACCCUUCGCUUAAGCAACCACAGCCAACUUCUAUGGAGCUUAUCUGAGGAUGUCAGGUUUUCUUCUCUUGCAUCCCUGAGAAACUCCAUCCAAUCCUCAUUACUUGGGGUUUAAUUCAAAAGUAGGUCGUUGCCGUAGAGAUGGGUUUUAAUGUCUUGAUUUUGUUUCUCUGAAUUAGAGAGAAAAGCAGGCGGUGCCAACCUUGGGAAGCAGUUUUGCAGCCAGAAAUAUCAACGCAAAAGUACACAGCAGACGACUGGGGAAGCACUGAGGUGGCCUUUAUAAUGAUGGACCCUUGGCAUCGAUGGUGGAUGGUCCAGGCCUCUGAAUCCUAGAAAUGCGACACGGUGGCUAAGUUCACAUAUCAUGCUCACCUUGAAACAAGAAGGGCUGGCCGAAGGAAUACCCAAGAGGCAGACCGGAGAAGGGGAGAUCAAACUGUGGCUUGUUUGACCACCUGUGAAACAAGCCAUGGCCAACACGAAACAUGGUUUUUCUUCUUAAGAACUACUUCUUCAGAAUUAGAACUCAUAAUUCUGUAACUCAUGUAAUGAGUUAUUUAUAAGAUUACUUGAAACAGCAAUAUUCCAGGUUCUGGCAAACAUUUCCCAAGAAAUAAAUAGUUGGACAACACAGCUGUUCCUGUUGCUGCAUAUAUGUAAAAUAUUAAUUUGUACACUAGUAGAAUUUUUUUAAAAAGGAUCCAGUGGAUUAUACCUCUUUAAA